UCAGCCUACGGGAGGCAGCAGUAGGGAAUCUUCCACAAUGGACGAAAGUCUGACGGAGCAACGCCGCGUGAGUGAAGAAGGGUUUCGGCUCGUAAAGCUCUGUUGGUAGUGAAGAAAGAUAGAGGUAGUAAAUGGCCUUUAUUUGACGGUAAUUACUUAGAAAGUCACGGCUAACUACGUGCCAGCAGCCGCGGGAAUACGUAGGUGGCAAGCGUUGUCCGGAUUUAUUGGGCGUAAAGCGAGUGCAGGCGGUUCAAUAAGUGUG
RNAcentral lists this ribosomal RNA (265 nucleotides) under uncultured bacterium. Its description in RNAcentral is "partial 16S ribosomal RNA". It matches the Rfam family "Bacterial small subunit ribosomal RNA", at positions 331 to 591 of the family's 1533-position model. The record is from RNAcentral.